RNAcentral lists this ribosomal RNA (402 nucleotides) under uncultured bacterium. RNAcentral's name for it is "bacterial SSU rRNA". It matches the Rfam family "Bacterial small subunit ribosomal RNA", at positions 356 to 773 of the family's 1533-position model. The record is from RNAcentral.
GGGGAAUAUUGGUCAAUGGGGGAAACCCUGAACCAGCAAUGCCGCGUGAAGGAAGAAGGUUUUCGGAUUGUAAACUUCUUUUAUGAGGGACGAAGAAGUGACGGUACCUCAUGAAUAAGCCACGGCUAACUACGUGCCAGCAGCCGCGGUAAUACGUAGGUGGCAAGCGUUGUCCGGAUUUACUGGGUGUAAAGGGCGCGUAGGCGGGAAUAUAAGUCAGGUGUGAAAUCUAUGGGCUCAACCCAUAAACUGCACUUGAAACUGUAUUUCUUGAGUGAUGGAGAGGCAGGCGGAAUUCCUAGUGUAGCGGUGAAAUGCGUAGAUAUUAGGAGGAACACCAGUGGCGAAGGCGGCCUGCUGGACAUUAACUGACGCUGAGGCGCGAAAGCGUGGGGAGCAAAC